Homo sapiens (human) is the source of this 3505-nucleotide long non-coding RNA. RefSeq annotates it as DNAJC6 antisense RNA 1. The record is from RefSeq and is a predicted model, not a curated record. NCBI's taxonomy places the organism in Eukaryota, Metazoa, Chordata, Mammalia, Primates, Hominidae. The transcript is spliced from 3 exons.
CGUGGGUUGGGAGGGUGUGUUCGCACGCGUGUGACAGAGAAGAAAGGGGCGAGGUAUCUCGGCCUGCGAAGCUUUGAGGACCAGGGGUCUUGUGGUAAAAUCCAGACACACCCAUUUCAUGCAACUUAGCCUAUUUUCACCGGAAGAUUCCGCCAAAGCCACCAGGACGGUAACCGUCCUAGAGAACUGACUUGUAACUCAAUUCAACAGAAAAAGAAUGCAUGUUAAGUGCCAGAAUAUAUCUAUGCUAGGAUAUAAAGGAAGAGCAAUAUUUUGCACAUUCUCCAGAAUAGGGAUGAUCCCUAAGGGAGAUAUCAAAGAGUUGGGUAUUCUAAUACUAGGAGGCAGCGUCCGUUCUGCCUAGAGAGCAGAUGUGACUGUUUAGAACUCUUUGUUGAGCGAAUAAACUGGGGAGAAGGGCAAGGUUAAGUCCGACGCAUUUUCAGAUCCGCCACCAUUUACCUUAGGACCUGGAGAAAAGACUGUUUCAGUUAGCUAGCUUGAAGGCCUGCUUGGGAAGCAAGAUAGACAAGGAUUUUUUUUCCCCAUCCUCUAGCCUCACGCCUUAUUUUUCUUUCACAAUUCUGGCCAAAGAAAGCAGUAACUCAUAAUCAGAAGAGAAUUUAUCAUGAAGUUAAUUAAGCUGUGUACCUAAUUUUGUAUCUGUCAUCGUGUAUUCUUAAAAGAAGACUCCGACAUUGUAUAAGUUCUGGAUCUGAACAAAACCUGGAUAAACUCUGGUGCUUUAUUAACUUGAUGAAGAUUAGUGACACUGAGGAAUACUGAGGAACCAGGCUCUAUUCCACCCCAUCCCCUUCAUACACACCUCAUUCCAAAUGCUAUCCUGUCACAGCAGAUGCCACAUCACUUUUGGGGUGGGCUAAGAGAUCAAGAUACACCUACAUUACCAUUUCAAGAGCAACUCAUGGAAGCAUCAGUCCUUUUCAUCUGUCAUUUUACAAGUAGGAAAACUUCAGCUUCUCAAGUGGGCUGGUUCUGUGAUCGACUUCUCUCAGUCUUGAAGAAAACACUGGAAAUUUUUAUGUGGUAAAUAGUUUCCCAAAGUCAGCUGCAAACCAACACUGAAGUGAAAGUUUUCCUAAAUCCUGGAUAGUCCCAUGUUUGGCCCUGAGCCCAUUAUGUGUGAUUUUAUGUUCAAGAUCCUUAAAAUCUGGAUGCUUCAUUUUGCAACCCCAUUGUACCUAACAGGGUGCUGGGCCAUAGAGGAUGUAGAACUUGGGGCAAAUCCUCUAAGAUGGUGAUGCAGAAGGCAGUCACCACCCCAGACACAGGUGGAACAAAUUCUUAGGGUGCUGAGUCUCCAGAGCACCAAAUCACUGCUGCUCACUUGACAACAUCUAAUUAAAGGGAAGGAACUAGCAUUUUCUGAACACUAAACUAAGUGCAUGGGUUUUUCAUGUAUUUAUCCAUUCGAAUGUGAAAGGUUUCGUGAGAAGGAUUACCAUACCCAAAGAGAUAAAACUCUGGAAUGCAGCUGAGUGUGGGCUAAGCAGUGAUUGCUAGUGAUCCUCAAUGUUGCUCUCCAUCUUCUAUGCUUCUGUGCCCUUUAGCUGGGCAUGUGGCCACAUAGUAUAAAUAUUUUUCAGUCUCUUUCAUGUCUUGGACCUGCCACAUGCAAGUUUUCUGUAAUCUACUAGAUGCAUACAUAGGACUAAGUUGUAGCCAUUGUAAUUAUAAGCAAAAAUAAUAUGUGCAAUUUCUGGUAUGGAUCCUUAAAAAGGAGGGUAGGUGGUAUGUCCUUCCAAUCCUUCUCCCUUUCUUCUAGUUGGAAUAUGGAGCUCCAGCAGGUACUUGGACCAUGAGUUAACCUUGAGGGUGGAAGACAUUCACAAUGAAACAGUAAAAUAGAAGAACCCCGAGCUCCAGAGAGCCCUAGCAACCCUAGACUGAUUACCUCUAGAUUACUUAGAGGUGAGAGAAAAACAAACUACUUAGUUAUUAUUUUGCCACUGUUAUUUUGCUUUUUUCUGUUAUGUGCAUCCAAACUAACUGGGGUACAACCUACCACCAUUAACCACUGGAUUUCAGACUUUUUUUCUUUUUUUUUUUUUUUUUUUUGAGAUGGAGUUUUCACACUCUUGUUGCCCAGGCUGGAGUGCAGUGGCGCAAUCUUGACUCACCUCCCGGGUUCAAGCAAUUCUCCUGCCUCAGCCUCCCAAGUGGCUGGGAUUACAAGCACACACCACCAUGCCCAGCUAAUUCUUUUGUGUUUUUAGUAGAGACGGGGUUUCAGCAUGUUGGCCAGGCUGGUCUCAAACUCUUGACCUCAGGUGAUCCGCCUACCUCGGCCUCCCAAAGUGCUGGGAUUGCAGGCAUGAGCCACCGUGCCUGGACACUUUCAGAUAUUUAUUUACAAAAAUAUUUACUGGGAAUUACAAGUUCAUGUGGUCAUGGACAAAUUUGAUAACCUCUAAACCUGUGUUUUCUCAUCCAUAAAAUACUAAUAAAAACAGGGUAGUUAUUAAAAUUGCAUAACAUAAAGUACAUAAAGAGCUUAGCAUAAGGCCUGGCAUAUAGUGAGGGUUCAAUGAAUGCUAUCUAUUGUGUUAUUUGUCAUUGUCCUUCAACAUAGCUCAGUCUAUUGUGUCUGACUCCAAAGCCAGUGAUCACUCCAUCUCAUCCUGCUAUCCAGAGACUGCCUUUCAGGACAGACCCAGCCCAGAGCUGUGGACCCCUGACUCUGUUACCAGUGAACUCCCUAGUACAGCUAUCCCUUCCUUUGCGUGUAAUUCUCUUUCUUUGAUCUACUUGCAUGAUCUCAAUACAGUCUAGAAUAUUUUAAGCCAUUAAAGGUGAUACAGAGCUUUAAGCAAAAUGUCAGUGUUAUGACACAGUGGUUCUGAGACUAUUAGCUUCAAUAUGGCCAAAUGAGAGAGUCUGACUUAUUUUCCAUUUGUGCUAAAAGAAAACUUAGGUAAUAAGUGGGGGUAUUUUUAUUUUAUUAUUCUAUCUUUUUACUUUCUAUUAGGGAAAUUUUCAAACAUAUUCAAAAGUAGGGAAAAUCAUAUAAUGGACUUCUUUGUAUGUAUCACUCAGCAUCAAUACUUAUCAAGUUGGUCCAUUUCUCCAUCAUCCGGGAAAGACAUUAGUGUUGAUGCUGACAUCCCUGUCAAGGACAAUAACUACCAUGGCUCUCAGUGCCUUGGUGUAACCUGGGAUGUGUGGCCUUCUGGCCAAGCAUCUGUCAUUUCAUAUUGUUGGAGCAUUCCUUAUAACCCUGGGGUUGCAGCUCUCUGUAAGUUUGCUGUGGCCUGACCAAGAAAGAAGGCAUAUGCAGAUUUCUACAGAAAUUAUAAUUGAAUUAAAGAAUUUGAGAUGAGGAAGGCUAAUAUCUCUCAGAGUACAAAGUGAUUUUGGAACAUAAAGUAUUUCUUUGGGUUGAAUUACAUAGAAGUUUGUCACUGUACCUGUGUUCCUGAACUAUCUGUGAAACAUGAAUAUGUGGGCUAAGAAAUUGUUUAUCUUAAUAAAUAAUUAACAAACA